This 6198-nucleotide long non-coding RNA is filed under the name Brassica rapa (field mustard). Its description in RNAcentral is "long non-coding RNA (BRAP_LNC006203)". The record is from RNAcentral. Lineage: Eukaryota; Viridiplantae; Streptophyta; Magnoliopsida; Brassicales; Brassicaceae.
GCGGGUUGGCAAGAGUGUACACCUUCAACACAAGAGAUGUUCAUCCUGAUCCAUGCCAAAGACCUGUCACUUUCUUCAUGGAACAUGUUUCUUCUUCUCCUGGUGAUGGAACUAUUAAAAGUGUGUAUAAGCAAGCUUACCAGAAUUGCACGUACGAUCCCAUUUCAUCUCCUCGAAAAAUCGAAGAGGUUAGAGUGUUUUCAACAAGGUUGGAUCCGGAUAUCAGACAAGUAAGUCAAUCUACUUUUUCUUAGUUUUGUGAAUUUGGUUUUGGAUUAAAGAUAGUGUGUUUCUAUGUGGAUAAUAGGAUAAAUAAUGAAGUUUUAUCAUCAGUGAAAAUCAUUUGCUAGAUUAGUAGUGAUUUGUUGAAAUGUCUAUUACUGAAAUUCUCCCUAGAAAUACUUAUCCCUUUUACUCUAGAAUUAGGUGCCAACAAAACUAGGAAUGUCACAUAUUAUUUACAAGAAGUGCAAGAUAAAUGCCCGGAAAAAAAGUUUUUUUUUCCUAAUAGAUAAAUGCUUGAAAAUACAUUAAGAUGUUUCAAUUUGCAAGAAAACUUUAAUAUAAUUCAUAUAAGUUUGACAUCAGUUCGCAUAUUUAUAUGUAACUUAAGUUGUUGGUAAAAAAAUUCAAAAAAUCCAUUUCAAUAUUGAUCUGGAAUGAACUUUGAGAAUUAAGCUUAAAAUAAUACUGAAAUUUAAAUGAGUAAAACUGAAAUAUUCAAAAUAGAUAUAUUUUAAAUUUUAUAAUCACACCAUAAAAAUACUAUUUCGUAAAAGUGUUACCUUUUUCUUUUUAUGUUAAGCUUAUUGAUCUUAACUAACCUUUUCUGGAUGUGGUAGUUGAAGGCUCCGAGAAGACAGUGUUGUGAUAUAUUACCAACUUCUUCCAAUGGUGGAAAAGUAUUGGAAAUUAGAAUUCGAGAGUGCAAAGAGGAUGAGUUCAUCUAUAUACAUCCCUAGUAGCAACGUAACUAAUACGCUAUUAAUAACCUCUUUUUGUUUGUUACAUUUGCUAUCCAAAUUUAACAUAUGUCGUUGCCAUAUAGGUUUAGUUAUUCUUCUUUUUUUUUGGUAAGAAGUUAUUCUUCAUUUUUGUAUACUAUAUAGUACUUAUUAAACCGUGACUCAGCUUGUUGCUUUUCAACUUUUGAGAUUUGUAGUUAACCUUUUUUGAUUAUUCAUCGGCCGUAACAAUAUGCUAAAAUAUUUUUUUGUAUGGAUAAUCUUUGAGUGUGCAACAAUAAAUUAAAGUAUGAUGGUAAAUAUAUAGGGUCAGUGGGCAGUGGUCAAAACUUAUAGGUCUUUACAAAGAAUGGUAGAGAAAGAGAUUUGAAUGGUAGGACAAGAUUCAGUGAAGAAAACAUUUCGACAAAUAAAUUAUAGAAUAUUCAUCUAAAGUGUGGCUAACAAAUUAUAGAAUCAGUGAAGAAAACAUUUCGAUAAUGCUUUGUCUUUAUCCUGUUUCCUCAUGCUUUGUCUUCUUCCUGCUUUUGUUGAUCACAUUCAGAGCAACGCUUAUCAUUGUUUUAUUAAAAUGAAGAUUCUUGUGAAAUUGGGAGCCAUAUGAUUAAUUUUACAGACAAUGAUUAGCUGUGAUUUUCCCAAGAGAAAUACUGUAAAUAGAACACAUUAACAAUCGAAUAAAACAAGGGAAAGAAAGUGUUGUUUUACAAAGGGUAGCUAGUUUUUAUAAUCUCAUUUAGUAUUUUAACUAGGAAAAUACGAAAAGAUAACCCCUUGUUUUAGAAAAAUACAGCCACUACCAAUCACAUCCGUAAUAUCCGAAUGAAUGGCAAAUAUUUUUAAAGUUUUAUAUCUAAACACUAACUAACCACCUUUUUUGCAGAGUCAUGUCAUUCCAAAUUUUUCUUUCAAGAAGUUCUUUUUUUUUUUUGAACAAAUCUUUCAAGAAGUUCUUUAGUCAUUUUUUCACGAAACAAAGUUCAACUAUUUCGUGUCGAAAAAUAUAUAAAUAUUCCAUAUGGUUCGGAUCUUGUGACACUGCACAUGUUGAAGGCAGCAGAAUUUACGUUACCAAACGUUGCAUGUUUCGUCGCUUAUCGAUAUUUUAAUGUAUAAUCUUAUAUGAUAACAAGAAAGCAUUUUAAAAACAAAGAAAAACAGCACAGUUCAGUUGAACUAGUUCGAUCUGUAAUCUUAAUAUUUUCACCCCAAAUAAAAUUAAGAACGAGAUCUACUUGCACAUUUACUGAACAUCUAUAUAAUUUAAUUUUGUCAACGAAUACCUAAUAAUUUAAUAUAUCAUCAUCAAUCUAACCGAAAAAAAACAUCUUCAUUACCGUAAAAAAAGGCAUGUAAUUAGAUUUAUUGAGACCAGAAAUGAUAUAGGUUGAGUCAGUAAUUCAUUAAGAUGUAUACUACUUCAAAUUGAGAAAUUGUUAAGUCGAUAAACAGAACAAGUAACUAGAGUACGUACGACUCCAAAACGACUCCACACUCAAAUUAAAAUUCCUAUAUUAAGUAAAAACAGAAAAAAUAGAGACAACAAUUAAGCCUUCUUUGUCUCUACGCCUUAUUAGCUUACGUGCCGAAUCACAACUAGUUAGGCCACAUUUAUUCCAUACAUUGAUAAGAACCAUUUGUAUCUAUCUUAUUAAAACUCAAGUACAAAAUCAGAUUGUUUGGCAAUAUGGAUAGUAGUUUAAAAAAUAGUACUGUUUGGAAACAUGAAUAGUAGUAAGUUAGAAAAAAAAUAAUGGGCUUAUGCUACUAAAAAAAUUGAAAGUCCAUUACAUUAUAUUAAAAAGUAAUGGGUCUAUGUUACUUAAUAUAUAUAUUCAAAUCAAAAUAAUAAUUUAAUUAAAAUUGAUUUAUAUCAAAAAUUCAUUAAAAAUAUACAUAUAUUCAAAAUUUGAUUUUUACUAACAUAUUUUCCAGUAACUAUUAUAAAAAUGUUUUCAAUAUAUAAUAAAAAUACAAUACAAAGCCCAAUUUCAAACACCAACUUAAAUUAUGGUUUUUAUAUUUCACAUUAAAUUUUUAAAAUAUAAUAUAUGUGAUUAUUUAUAUGAUUGUACGUAUAAAAUAUUAUUAAUUAUAAGAAAAUUUAUUUGAUGGUACGUAUAAAAUACGAUUAAUUAUUGGAUAACACAUAUUUUGUAACCUUUGAUAACACAUAUAUGGAUAUAUAUAAUAGUGAUUAUGGGUGGGCGUUCGGGUUCGUUUUCGGGUUUUUUUGGGAUUUCGUGUUCAGUUCAUAUCUUUGAGGAUUUGGUUCUGAUUUGAAUAACCAAUUUAAAUAGGUUUAGUUUAAAUAUUUGGAUAGAGAAUUAAUAAUUACUUAAGUAUUUUUGGAGUUUUGAGUAUUUUUAACUAUUUAAGAUAUUUACGUUUAAUUAUUUGUAUAUAUUUUCAAGCAUUUAUGCGAACUUAAAAGUAUCAUAUAUAUCCUGGAUGUUUUUAUAUAUAUUAAAAAUAAUUCGAUUCUGAUCGGAUUAGGUUUCAAUUCUUCAAAUACCAAAAUUUUGAAUAAUUUGGAUAUUUAAUCAAUUCUGGUUCGGAUUUAGUACUACUUAUUUGGAUUGGGAUCGGUUCGAUUCUUCGAAUUCGAGUUUUUUGCCCAACCCUAAAUAGUGACAUAAAAAGCAAAUAGCAUCAUAUUUUCUUUUAAAAUACACCCGCACGGGCGUGCGGGUCAAAAUCUAGUAUCCAUUAAGAGUCCAGUGUCGCGUAUAGCCACCGUGACCACCAUUUUAAUAUAGCCACCUUCGUACCAUAACUCAUUUUGAGAUCUUUCCUUCUAUUUAUUUAUAUAUAAAGGCAAUAGACCAAAAUUUAUCAUUCUUCAGAUUUUUUUUUUCUCUUUCGACCCCUAUGGAGAUGUGUCUCUUUCAACGCACAUCGAAAACUCAUUCUUCAUCUUCUUCUUCAACUAUCUCGAGCCGUAUGAUAAAUUGCGUACUACUUUCUGUUUUUGCUUCCUUUGUCUACCUUCUCGUCUCGUUAUCUAGGUUUCAAUCUAAAGACACUAUCGAUGCCUACUUCUUAUCUUCUCAAGAUCAAUCUCAGAGCCCAACAGAGAUCGAUCACAUAGUCUUUGGGAUCGGAUCGAGCAUUAAGUCGUGGCCUGCACGUAGAGAGUAUGUUAAGCUUUGGUGGGAUGCUCAGAGAAUGAGAGGAUGCGUCUUUGUUGACCGUCCCUUGACGUCUUUGGUGAACGACACAGAUUCUCAUCUCCUUCCUCCGAUUUGUGUUUCCGAAGAUACAUCACGGUUCAGGUAACUAAGAAAACCAUUAGUUUUUUACAAAAAAAAAAAAAAAAAAAACCAUUAGUAUCAUCAUUUUUUGAAAGCAUGUACAAUUCAUACCUUUUUAUAUUAUUUAAGGUCUUUAUUCCCGUCGUGACACCAAUACUACCAAUACCUUCUAAAACAUUUCAUUUAAUUUCAUUGCAUUCAUGAUAUUUUAUUUUCCGUAAUUUUCAUCAAUAGAUAUUCUAUUAGCUAGUAAAAACUAAAAAUCAUAUAAAAUAGCAUUAAUUUAAAUUCACUGUAUUUCAAAAAGACGUAUUAAUUAAUUAUAUAUAUAUAUAUCUAAAGUUAUUGUUUAAACUAAAUAAAUACAAGACGACAAAAAAAAAAAAAACUAAAUAAAUACAAAACUCAACUUGAUUAGAGAGUCAAAUCAAAUUUUCUAAUCCCUACCUAAAUGUUAUUGCGUUUGCGCCUAUAUCUAGGCAUGCUAAAAAUUAAUGAGAAAUUCUCAAAAUUAUAUUUUUUUUUUCUGAAAUUUACAAGUAUAAUUUUUAUCCUCUGUAAAACGUCGGGUUUAGUUUUUUUUUUAAUGUGUGUAAGGUUCAAGUCUCUUUACCAUUCAAGAACUCUUCAUAAACCCUUUUCAAGAACUCUUCAUAAACCCUUUUCGUCUGUAAAAGAAAAUAUUUUUGUUAAGCUUGUUUUUUUUUAAAUAAACAUCGAUGGCUUUUAUGUUUAACAAAACUUUAAAAUAUACAAUUAAUAAAUUAAUAUUCCGAUUUUAUUCCCCUGAUUCUAACUUUCUAAACAGAGUAUAGCUAUAUUAUUGAACUACUGAUUAUUGUAAAACAGAUACACUUGGAGAAAAGGAGAUAAAAACGCGAUUAGGAUCGCGCGGUGCGUGUUAGAAACCGUAAGGAUGUUUAAUACUUCCUCAGAGGAAGUAAGAUGGUACGUAUUUGGAGACGACGACACAAUAUUCAUCCAUGAAAACCUAGCAAAAACGCUCUCCAAAUACGACCACACAUCAUGGUAUUACAUUGGAGCAAGCUCAGAGAUUUAUCACCAGAACUCAUUAUUCGGACACGACAUGGCAUUUGGUGGUGGAGGAAUCGCUAUAAGCAGCUCGUUGGCUAACGUUUUAGCCAAAAAUUUCGAUUCAUGUAUCGAAAGGUAUCCACAUUUGUACGGAGGAGACUCUAGGGUUCAUGCUUGUAUGCUUGAACUUGGAGUUGGAUUGUCUCAUGAGCCUGGCUUCCAUCAGGUUUUCUAAAAAAAAUUAAAAUUAAAUAGUAAUUAUUUUUGCAUAAUAUUGAUUAAUUUUUGCAUAAUAGUAAUGUAUCCGUUUUUUAUGUAUAUAAUAAUCAGUUUGAUGUGAGAGGAAAUGCAUUGGGAAUACUGACAUCACAUUCAACGAGACCGUUGGUGUCUCUACACCACAUGGCCCACAUUGAUCCCAUUUUCCCAAACUCAACCACUUUCUCCGCCGUCCGCCAUCUCUUCUCCGCCGUGGAACUUGAUCCUCUCCGUAUAUUUCAACUAUCCGUUUGCUACGACCGUUGGCACUCUUGGACCAUCUCUGUCUCCUGGGGCUAUGCUGUUCAGGUUAAUAUCGUUUUGCCCUAAAUAUAUACAUGAGUUUGCAUGACAUGUAGUAUAACUUAAGAUUACUAAAUCAAAUUAUAUUUGUUACCCUCUAAUGUUAGAUUGAGACUAGGCAUUUAUUUCUGCGGGAUGUUUUGAGAACACAAAAAACGUUUCGACCAUGGAAAAAUUCUGGCGGUUUGGCAAGUGUGUACACAUUCAACACAAGAGAUGUUCAUCCUGAUCCAUGCCAACGACCUGUCACCUUCUUCAUGGAACAUGUUUCUUCGUCUCCCAGUGAUGGAACUAUUAAAAGUGUAUAUAAGCAAGCUUACCAGAAUUGCACGUACGAUCCCAUUUCAUCUCCUCGAAAAAUCGAAGAGGUUAGAGUGUUUUCA